This 715-nucleotide long non-coding RNA is filed under the name Nicotiana benthamiana. Its description in RNAcentral is "long non-coding RNA (NBEN_LNC029631)". The record is from RNAcentral. Lineage: Eukaryota; Viridiplantae; Streptophyta; Magnoliopsida; Solanales; Solanaceae.
CUCAAUGAGAAGUGUGCGAGCAUUCUCGAUGAUGUGCCUUGUCUUUCUCUCGACAACCCCAUUUUGUUGAGGGGUAUAUGGACAAGAGUUCUGAUAAAUAAUUCCUUGAGAAGUCAUAAGUUGCUGAAAUGAAGAGGAUAAAUAUUCUAAGGCAUUAUCACUGCGAAAAGUACAAAUAGAAACACCGAAUUGAUUUUUAAUUUCAGCACAAAAAUUCUGGAAAAUAGAAAACAACUCAAAAUGAUCAUUCAUUAAUAAAAUCCAAGUAUAUCGUGAAUGAUCAUCAAUGAAACUAACAAAAUUACGAAACCCCAAGGUUUAACGGACUCUACAAGGACCCCAUAUAUCAGAAUGAACUAAAGAAAAAACAGACUCUGCAUGACUAACCCCAAGGUUGAACUGACUCUACAAGUACCCCAUAUAUCAGAAUGAACUAAAGAAAAAACAGACUCUGUAUGACUCUCAAUAUUACGAGGAAAGGAGGUUCGGGUAUGUUUCCCGAGCUGACAUGACUCACACUCUAAUGUGGAUAAACUAGACAAACUAGGCAUCAUCUUUUGAAGCUUGGACAAGCUAGGAUGUCUUAGACGUCUGUGAAGUAGGUCUGGAUGAUCUGCAACUAGACAUGCCUUGGAGGAUUUUAGUGAGUUAAGGUAGUAAAGUCCUUCUGAUUCAAGUCUUGUUCCAAUCGUCUGUCUCGUACUGCGGUCCUGCA